AUGAACGCUGUCUACAGGCUUAACACAUGCAAGUCGAGGGGAAACGACGGGGAAGCUUGCUUCCCCGGGCGUCGACCGGCGCACGGGUGAGUAACGCGUAUCCAACCUGCCUCUGACUGAGGGAUAACCCGUCGAAAGUCGGCCUAAUACCUCAUGGCAUCGUCUGCGGGCAUCCAACGACGAUUAAAGAUUUCAUCGGUCAGGGAUGGGGAUGCGUCUGAUUAGCUUGUUGGCGGGGUAACGACCCACCAAGGCUACGAUCAGUAGGGGUUCUGAGAGGGAGGUCCCCCACAUUGGAACUGAGACACGGUCCAAACUCCUACGGGAGGGAGCAGUGAGGAAGAUUGGUGAAUGGGCGGGAGCCUGAACCAGCCAAGUAGCGUGCAGGAUGACGGCCCUAUGGGUUGUAAACUGCUUUUAUGCGGGGAUAAAGUGAGGGACGUGUCCUUCAUUGCAGGUACCGCAUGAAUAAGGACCGGCUAAUUCCGUG
RNAcentral lists this ribosomal RNA (490 nucleotides) under uncultured bacterium. Its description in RNAcentral is "partial 16S ribosomal RNA". It matches the Rfam family "Bacterial small subunit ribosomal RNA", at positions 29 to 507 of the family's 1533-position model. The record is from RNAcentral.